This 465-nucleotide ribosomal RNA is filed under the name uncultured Klebsiella sp. RNAcentral describes it as "bacterial SSU rRNA". It matches the Rfam family "Bacterial small subunit ribosomal RNA", at positions 338 to 795 of the family's 1533-position model. The record is from RNAcentral. Lineage: Bacteria; Pseudomonadati; Pseudomonadota; Gammaproteobacteria; Enterobacterales; Enterobacteriaceae.
CCUACGGGAGGCUGCAGUGGGGAAUAUUGCACAAUGGGCGCAAGCCUGAUGCAGCCAUGCCGCGUGUGUGAAGAAGGCCUUCGGGUUGUAAAGCACUUUCAGCGGGGCGGAAGGCGGUGAGGUUAAUAACCUCAUCGAUUGACGUUACCCGCAGAAGAAGCACCGGCUAACUCCGUGCCAGCAGCCGCGGUAAUACGGAGGGUGCAAGCGUUAAUCGGAAUUACUGGGCGUAAAGCGCACGCAGGCGGUCUGUCAAGUCGGAUGUGAAAUCCCCGGGCUCAACCUGGGAACUGCAUUCGAAACUGGCAGGCUAGAGUCUUGUAGAGGGGGGUAGAAUUCCAGGUGUAGCGGUGAAAUGCGUAGAGAUCUGGAGGAAUACCGGUGGCGAAGGCGGCCCCCUGGACAAAGACUGACGCUCAGGUGCGAAAGCGUGGGGAGCAAACAGGAUUAGAUACCCGGGUAGUC